RNAcentral lists this ribosomal RNA (754 nucleotides) under uncultured archaeon. Its description in RNAcentral is "bacterial SSU rRNA". It matches the Rfam family "Archaeal small subunit ribosomal RNA", at positions 102 to 859 of the family's 1478-position model. The record is from RNAcentral.
AGUCAACAUGCCCAGAGGACGUGGAUAACCUCGGGAAACUGAGGAUAAACCGCGAUAGGUCAUAAUUACUGGAAUGUGUUAUGGCCCAAAUCUAUAUGGCCUCUGGAUUGGACUGCGGCCGAUCAGGCUGUUGGUGAGGUAAUGGCCCACCAAACCUUUUACCGGUACGGGCUCUGAGAGGAGAAGCCCGGAGAUGGGCACUGAGACAAGGGCCCAGGCCCUAUGGGGCGCAGCAGGCGCGAAACCUCUGCAAUAGGCGAAAGCCUGACAGGGUUACUCUGAGUGAUUCCCGCUAAGGGAAUCUUUUGGCAUCUCUAAAAAUGGUGCAGAAUAAGGGGUGGGCAAGUCUGGUGUCAGCCGCCGCGGUAAUACCAGCACCCCGAGUGGUCGGGACGAUUAUUGGGCCUAAAGCAUCCGUAGCCGGUCUUGCAAGUCUUCCGUUAAAUCCAGCUGCUUAACAGAUGGGCUGCGGAGGAUACUACAAGGCUAGGAGGCGGGAGAGGCAAGCGGUACUCAGUGGGUAGGGGUAAAAUCCUCUGAUCCAUUGAAGACCACCAGUGGCGAAGGCGGCUUGCCAGAACGCGCUCGACGGUGAGGGAUGAAAGCUGGGGGAGCAAACCGGAUUAGAUACCCGGGUAGUCCCAGCUGUAAACGAUGCAGACUCGGUGAUGGGCCGGCUUUAUGCCGGCUCAGUGCCGCAGGGAAGCCGUUAAGUCUGCCGCCUGGGGAGUACGGUCGCAAGACUGAAACUUAA